RNAcentral lists this ribosomal RNA (253 nucleotides) under uncultured bacterium. RNAcentral describes it as "partial 16S ribosomal RNA". It matches the Rfam family "Bacterial small subunit ribosomal RNA", at positions 524 to 776 of the family's 1533-position model. The record is from RNAcentral.
UACGUAGGUGGCAAGCGUUGUCCGGAAUUAUUGGGCGUAAAGCGCGCGCAGGCGGUCCUUUAAGUCUGAUGUGAAAGCCCACGGCUCAACCGUGGAGGGUCAUUGGAAACUGGGGGACUUGAGUGCAGAAGAGGAAAGCGGAAUUCCACGUGUAGCGGUGAAAUGCGUAGAGAUGUGGAGGAACACCAGUGGCGAAGGCGGCUUUCCGGUCUGUAACUGACGCUGAGGCGCGAAAGCGUGGGGAGCAAACAGG